RNAcentral lists this unclassified non-coding RNA (324 nucleotides) under soil metagenome. RNAcentral describes it as "partial contains 5.8S ribosomal RNA, internal transcribed spacer 2, and large subunit ribosomal RNA". The stretch from base 1 to 120 matches the Rfam family "5.8S ribosomal RNA", at positions 35 to 154 of the family's 154-position model. The record is from RNAcentral.
GAUGAAGAACGCAGCGAAAUGCGAUAAGUAGUGUGAAUUGCAGAAUUCAGUGAAUCAUCGAAUCUUUGAACGCACAUUGCGCCCCUUGGUAUUCCAUGGGGCAUGCCUGUUCGAGCGUCAUUUGUACCUUCAAGCUUUGCUUGGUGUUGGGUGUUUGUCCCGAGGGACUCGCCUUAAAGUAAUUGGCAGCCAGUGUUUGGUUUUGAAGCGCAGCACAAGUCGCGAAUCAAGGCUACACGCCCGCUUCCACAAGCCUUUUUUCACUUUUGACCUCGGAUCAGGUAGGGAUACCCGCUGAACUUAAGCAUAUCAAUAAGCGGAGGA